This 450-nucleotide ribosomal RNA is filed under the name uncultured bacterium. RNAcentral describes it as "partial 16S ribosomal RNA". It matches the Rfam family "Bacterial small subunit ribosomal RNA", at positions 354 to 796 of the family's 1533-position model. The record is from RNAcentral.
GUGGGGAAUAUUGGACAAUGGGCGAAAGCCUGAUCCAGCCAUGCCGCGUGUGUGAAGAAGGUCUUCGGAUUGUAAAGCACUUUAAGUUGGGAGGAAGGGCAGUAAGUUAAUACCUUGCUGUUUUGACGUUACCGACAGAAUAAGCACCGGCUAACUUCGUGCCAGCAGCCGCGGUAAUACGAAGGGUGCAAGCGUUAAUCGGAAUUACUGGGCGUAAAGCGCGCGUAGGUGGUUUUGUAAGUUGGAGGUGAAAUCCCCGGGCUCAACCUGGGAACUGCCUCCAAAACUGCAUGGCUAGAGGUCGGUUGAGGGUAGUGGAAUUUCCUGUGUAGCGGUGAAAUGCGUAGAUAUAGGAAGGAACACCAGUGGCGAAGGCGACUACCUGGACUGAUACUGACACUGAGGUGCGAAAGCGUGGGGAGCAAACAGGAUUAGAUACCCCUGUAGUCC